RNAcentral lists this ribosomal RNA (332 nucleotides) under uncultured beta proteobacterium. RNAcentral describes it as "bacterial SSU rRNA". It matches the Rfam family "Bacterial small subunit ribosomal RNA", at positions 730 to 1061 of the family's 1533-position model. Lineage: Bacteria; Pseudomonadati; Pseudomonadota; Betaproteobacteria. The record is from RNAcentral.
UGGGCCAACCCUGACGCUCAGGCACGAAGCGUGGGGAGCAAACAGGAUUAGAUACCCUGGUAGUCCACGCCCUAAACGAUGCUCACUAGGUGUUGGGGAAGCGAUUCCUUGGUACCGUAGCUAACGCGUGAAGUGAACCGCCUGGGGAGUACGGCCGCAAGGUUAAAACUCAAAGGAAUUGACGGGGACCCGCACAAGCGGUGGAUGAUGUGGAUUAAUUCGAUGCAACGCGAACAACCUUACCUACCCUUGACAUGUCCGGAAGGCUGCUGAAAGGCGGGUGUGCCCGAAAGGGAACCGGAACACAGGUGCUGCAUGGCUGUCGUCAGUUA